GACGAACGCUGGCGGCGUGCCUAAUACAUGCAAGUAGAACGCUGAAGAGAGGAGCUUGCUCUUCUUGGAUGAGUUGCGAACGGGUGAGUAACGCGUAGGUAACCUGCCUUGUAGCGGGGGAUAACUAUUGGAAACGAUAGCUAAUACCGCAUAACAAUGGAUGACACAUGUCAUUUAUUUGAAAGGGGCAAUUGCUCCACUACAAGAUGGACCUGCGUUGUAUUAGCUAGUAGGUGAGGUAACGGCUCACCUAGGCGACGAUACAUAGCCGACCUGAGAGGGUGAUCGGCCACACUGGGACUGAGACACGGCCCAGACUCCUACGGGAGGCAGCAGUAGGGAAUCUUCGGCAAUGGGGGCAACCCUGACCGAGCAACGCCGCGUGAGUGAAGAAGGUUUUCGGAUCGUAAAGCUCUGUUGUAAGUCAAGAACGAGUGUGAGAGUGGAAAGUUCACACUGUGACGGUAGCUUACCAGAAAGGGACGGCUAACUACGUGCCAGCAGCCGCGGUAAUACGUAGGUCCCGAGCGUUGUCCGGAUUUAUUGGGCGUAAAGCGAGCGCAGGCGGUUUGAUAAGUCUGAAGUUAAAGGCUGUGGCUCAACCAUAGUUCGCUUUGGAAACUGUCAAACUUGAGUGCAGAAGGGGAGAGUGGAAUUCCAUGUGUAGCGGUGAAAUGCGUAGAUAUAUGGAGGAACACCGGUGGCGAAAGCGGCUCUCUGGUCUGUAACUGACGCUGAGGCUCGAAAGCGUGGGGAGCGAACAGGAUUAGAUACCCUGGUAGUCCACGCCGUAAACGAUGAGUGCUAGGUGUUGGAUCCUUUCCGGGAUUCAGUGCCGCAGCUAACGCAUUAAGCACUCCGCCUGGGGAGUACGACCGCAAGGUUGAAACUCAAAGGAAUUGACGGGGGCCCGCACAAGCGGUGGAGCAUGUGGUUUAAUUCGAAGCAACGCGAAGAACCUUACCAGGUCUUGACAUCCCGAUGCUAUUUCUAGAGAUAGAAAGUUACUUCGGUACAUCGGUGACAGGUGGUGCAUGGUUGUCGUCAGCUCGUGUCGUGAGAUGUUGGGUUAAGUCCCGCAACGAGCGCAACCCCUAUUGUUAGUUGCCAUCAUUCAGUUGGGCACUCUAGCGAGACUGCCGGUAAUAAACCGGAGGAAGGUGGGGAUGACGUCAAAUCAUCAUGCCCCUUAUGACCUGGGCUACACACGUGCUACAAUGGUUGGUACAACGAGUUGCGAGUCGGUGACGGCAAGCUAAUCUCUUAAAGCCAAUCUCAGUUCGGACUGUAGGCUGCAACUCGCCUACAUGAAGUCGGAAUCGCUAGUAAUCGCGGAUCAGCACGCCGCGGUGAAUACGUUCCCGGGCCU
This 1369-nucleotide ribosomal RNA is filed under the name uncultured bacterium. RNAcentral's name for it is "bacterial SSU rRNA". It matches the Rfam family "Bacterial small subunit ribosomal RNA", at positions 28 to 1381 of the family's 1533-position model. The record is from RNAcentral.